AAGUCGUAACAAGGUUUCCGUAGGUGAACCUGCGGAAGGAUCAUUACCAAUAAAAAUUAUUUAAACCCAUGUGCACUGUGAAUGAAAUGUCUUGGUCUUUGGGGUGGGUCUUAACGGCUCCACCCCAGCCAUUUUGUUUAACUUCGUUUACAAUUAUAUUGGCAUCGUACUUUGUCUUAAUAAAUUAUUAUGACAACUUUUAACGGUGGAUCUCUUGGCUCGU
RNAcentral lists this unclassified non-coding RNA (223 nucleotides) under fungal sp. RNAcentral's name for it is "partial internal transcribed spacer region". The stretch from base 1 to 46 matches the Rfam family "Eukaryotic small subunit ribosomal RNA", at positions 1786 to 1831 of the family's 1831-position model. Lineage: Eukaryota; Fungi. The record is from RNAcentral.